UCUCCAAGAAGGAGGGAGGCUGGUCCUAGUUCCCGAGGUCCUAGACUAGGUCUAGAUCACUGGGUAAAAGAAGGGGAGCGGCAGCACGUAUGGGGACUAAUCUGUCACGGCGGCGCCCUACCUCUUCUUCCGGCCCGGCUCGUCAUGGCGGCGCCCUGAGUAGCCACUUCCGCCCUCUUCUGGCUAAAUUGCUUCAUCCCUAUUUCCGGCUUGCCAUGGCAGCGCUCGGGGUUUAACGGAAGUAAGCAAUGGAAAGUAUGGUGGUGCCUCGGGUCCAAAGAGAAUGCGCCGCUGAGUUGCGCGGCACCUGACGGGAUUGAGCCUCAGACACAAGCGCUCCAAAUCUCCGACUGUAGCUGGUGGGAAGCGCCUGCUGUUGCUGCAGCGUCUCAACAUGUUGUUCCCAUUUUCGUUGGGUGCUGUAGCGGUAGGCUGUUGGGCUCAGGGAUAGGGGGCCUGAUUCCUAACGCCGCGCUGCCACCAUCGGCCUUGCGCAGACGCUGAUAAUCCCCCUGGCACCCAGAUCUUUCAAGACUCUAGUCAAAAUGAGCAGAACAUUUUGCAGUUAAUCAUAGAGUUGAAGAUGAACGAGAAGAUGAACGAGAGCUACUUGAUUGUGAACUAGUAACGACCACUUGGAGUCGCAGUGUGUCUGUAAAAUGAUGAUGACAGUGACAUCAUAGAGGACAUAGUGCAAGUGAACAGUUUGAUACUGAGCUUGGAGCCUCAGUAGUUCUGGAUAAGUGAGAGCUGUACGGGAGGUUGUAACCAUGAGCUACCCUGGUUGGCAGUUGACAUCCGAGGACCAGCACUGGUCAUCGCACAGAAAGAAAACUUUACACCUUGAGAUCCCUCCAUUCUUCUUAAACUUCCAAGUGUAUGUUUGAUGGGAGAAGAGGGGAAGGGAUCAACAUUUAAAGGCUCUGGAAGGAGUCAGAUAACUGUUUUUGGCUUCAAAUGUAGAAUGAAUCCCUAGAUUUUCCUCUACUGAGAGAAUGAAAUCUUAACCCAUUCCGUUCCCUUGUUGGUACUCAGAAACGGAUACCCCAAAGAUGCAUUUUGACAUGCUGAAAGGCCUUAGAAGCUGCCUUAGAAGAUCUGUCUAACCUUGUCUUGUUGGUGUGUGGAAGUGGGAAUGCCCACAGGUGCACAGGGAGGGAGUUUCUGAAAUUAUCUGACCGAGAAAGCAAAAAAAAAAAAUCAAUUGUCUUAAA
RNAcentral lists this long non-coding RNA (1214 nucleotides) under Homo sapiens (human). RNAcentral describes it as "HSALNT0305128". Lineage: Eukaryota; Metazoa; Chordata; Mammalia; Primates; Hominidae. The record is from RNAcentral.